This is a non-coding RNA of Rattus norvegicus (Norway rat), 6125 nucleotides long. NCBI's taxonomy places the organism in Eukaryota, Metazoa, Chordata, Mammalia, Rodentia, Muridae. The record is from RefSeq and is a predicted model, not a curated record.
UCGGAUCCUGCUCGGAUAGCACCUAUACCUUGUGUGCCAGAGAUCCAUAUCCUCUUGUGGUUCCUUUCUCUUGAAAGACCCCAGCUUAGCAGCAGUAACGCCAUUUUGCAAGGCUGUACUUAAGAUGACUGGUUCAGGGAAAGGUUAGAACACUGAGUACACAGCGGCUGCCAAACAAGAUGUGUUUGGUUGAAGGCCUGGCAACAGGAGGACUGCCGUUGGGCACCUGACAAUGAGAAAAGCCCCGGGAGAGGUCCCACACCCUGGUGGGGGGCCGAGUCAGCCGUUAUGUUCCAAGAAGGUAGCUAAGAAACUUGCCCCCAGGCUGAACCCUUGGGGGGCCGAGUCAGUCCUUAUGUUUCAGGAAGGUAGCUAGGAAACUUGCCCCCGGGCUAAACCCUUGCCAUAUUAGAAUCCACCAAUUAUAUCCCUGUAACCAUGCAUCUGCUUCUGUAUGCUUGCUUCUGCUCCCCAAAAUCCUAUAAAAGCCCAUCCUUGGUUCCAUGGGGUGCGCCAGUCCCCCGAGUGACUGAAGCGCCCGCAGGUGCCUGUGCCUGUGUAUCCCGACAAUAAACCAAAUCCUCUUGCUGAUUGCAUCCUGUGGUGUCUCGGUCUGGUCUUUGGAGUUAGAGGGUCUCCAUCCCGAGGGAAAGUUCUCCCUGAGAGCUUUUCAUUUGGUGCAUUGGCCGGGAAAGGAGAUCCUCCACCCAGGGACCACCGACCACCCACUGGGAGGUAAGCCGGCCGGCGUCUGUCUGUCUGUCUGAUUUUGUCUCGUUCUGCCUUAUUCUGUCUGUUCUGUGAGCGCUCAGCCAGGUCUGUUCUGUGAGCGCUCAGCCAGGUCUGUUCUGUGAGCGCUCAGCCAGGUUGUUUGGAAUUUGGGCGGGACGAAGAAGAAGCUGACGAGCUCGGACUUCUCGCCCCGCAGCCCUGGAAGACGUUCCAAGGGUGUUAGGGGCCCGACUUUUCGGGGCCCAAUCUGGGAGAGGAGAAAGAUCCGGACUAACGGCACCUCUGUCUGUAUUUUUGGCUUUCAGAGGGCCCCGGACCUUUGCCACCUCCAUCUGACUUUUUGCUUUCAGUUUGGUACCAAAGCCGUGCAGCACGCCUGUCUGUUGUUUGUUUGACUGUUGGUGUUGUUUGUUUUCUCUGUGUUCUAAUCUUCCUUAGAACUAACAUGGGACAGUCCCUAACAACGCCCCUAAGUCUCACUCUUGAUCAUUAGAAAGACGUCCACGACCGGGCACACAACCAGUCCGUCGAGGUUAAAAAAGGAAAAUGACAGACUCUCUACACAUCCGAGUGGCCCACUUUCGGAGCGGGAUGGCCAGUGAAUGACACAUUUAAUAAGAUCAUUAUUUUACAGGUUAAAGAUUGGGUCGUCCACGGACAUCCUGACCAGGUUUCUUAUAUUAUCACUUGAGAGAGUCUCGCCUUAACCCCCCCCCCGGGCGGAACCCUUCGUGGACCCAAAUUGGCCUCCCCUCAACCCCCAGUCUGUCCCCUCGGCCCCGCCCGGUCCGCCGGCCACGUCUUCCUCUCUCUACCUUUGUGAAAUCAGAGCCUUCUAAGAAACCUGUCCUCCCGGCAGACCCAAACUCCCCUCUCAUAGAUCUUCUCUCUGACAGGCCCGGCUGAAACGGAGGAGGCAGAGCCGCCGGCCAGAUCAGUUGCCGGGCCACAGUCUGAUAAGGGUUUCUCCCCUGUCGCAGGGAGAUUGCGCAAUAAGCUCGAGGUGAUGCCAGAUUCAACCUCCCAGGCUUUCCCACUUAGACAGGGAACCGGUGGCCAGACCCAAUACUGGCCGUUUUCAGCAGCUGACAUUUACAAUUGGAAACAACACAACCCUUCUUUCUCCAAAGAUCCGGUGACACUCACCGACCUAAUAGAAUCUGUUUUACUUACCCACCAGCCUACUUGGGAUGACUGCCAACAGCUCUUACAGGCCCUCUUAACCUCAGGAAAAAAAAAAAAAAAAACAAAGAGUGUUCCUAGAGGCCAGAAAGCAUGUUCUGGGAGAUGAUGGGCGUCCCACCCAGCUGCCUGAGGACCAAACUGGGAUUUUAAUACAGCUGAAGGUAAGGGACACCUACGCCUUUAUCGCCAGUUGCUUCUAGCGGGUCUCCGAGGGGCUAUACGACGCCCUACUAAUUUGGCUCAGGUAAAACAGGUAUUACAGGAAGCAGGGGAAACUCCCUCCGCCUUUCUAGAGAGACUUAAGGAGGCCUACCGUAUGUACACUCCCUAUGACCCAGAUGACCCAGGACAAAUGACGAGUGUCUCUAUGUCCUUCAUCUGGCAGGCUGCUCCAGAUAUCAGGACUAAGUUACAGAGGUUAGAAAAUUUACAGGGCUAUACAUUACAGGAUUUACUUAAAGAAGCUGAAAAGAUUUUUAAUAAGAGAGAGAAUUGAGUCGAAUCUUGGCCGCCGUAGUUCAGGGCCAAAAAAGGAAGGGAGAUAGGGGGGAGCUCGAAAGGGGCUGAAGCUGGAUAAAGAUCAAUGUGCCUAUUACAAAGAGAAAGGGCACUGGGCCAGAGAGUGCCCCAAGAAGCCUGGUGGACCCCGAAAGCCUCGACCACGAACCUCCCUCUUGGCUCUAGAUAAAGAUUAGGGAAUUCAGGGCCAGGAGCCCCCCCCCUGAGCCCAGGGUAACGCUUAAAGUUGGGGGGCAGCCGGUUACUUUCCUGAUAGACACAGGAGCCCAGCAUUCAGUCCUCACUCAAGCUUCAGGACAACUCAGCGACCGGACGGCCUGGGUACAAAGAGCUACUGGUGAGAAACAAUACCGAUGGACUACGGACCGCCGGGUUCAGCUGGCUACUGGUAAGGUGACCCAUUCCUUCUUACAUGUUCCGGACUGCCCGUACCCUCUGCUGGGCCGUGACCUGCUCACCAAACUAAAAGCACAAAUUCAUUUUGAGGAAGGAGGGGCCCAAAUAACUGGCCCCCACGGAACUCCCCUUCAAGUUCUAACCCUACAACUAGAGGAUGAAUAUAGACUAUAUGAACCGGGACAGGACAAGCCACAAUCCCUAGAAAUAGACACUUGGGUCACGAAUUUUCCACUGGCUUGGGCAGAGACUGGUGGGAUGGGGUUGGCGCUCCAACAGCCCCCCUUAAUUAUACAGUUAAAGGCCACUACAACUCCAGUCUCCAUAAAACAAUACCCCCUGUCACAUAAAGCUUAUCAAGGUAUAAGGCUUCACAUUACGAGGCUUCUAGAUCAAGGCAUCCUAGUCCCCUGCCGGUCGCCUUGGAAUACGCCUCUUCUGCCUGUUAAGAAACCCGGCACUGGAGCUUAUAGGCCAAUACAAGACUUGAGAAAGGUCAACAAGAGGAUAGAAGAUAUUCAUCUGACUGUUCCAAACCCUUACAAUUUGCUCAGUAACUGUUCAUCGAUGAGAAACAGGGGUAUGCUAAAGGGGUCCUAACACAAAGGUUGGGACCCUGGAAACGCCCUGUGGCCUACCUGUCUAAGAAAUUGGACCCUGUGGCCUCCAGCUGGCCACCGUGCCUAAGGAUGGUGGCUGCUAUUGCUGUCCUGAUCAAGGACACUGGAAAAUUGACUUUGGGACAGCCACUCACCAUCCUAACACCCCACGCAGUGGAGGCCUUGGUAAAGCAGCCCCCAGACCGCUGGCUCUCUAAUUCUCACACCAAGCCUUGUUACUGGAUGCAGAACGGGUUCAGUUUGGGCCUGUAGUUGCCCUCAAUCCUGCCACCUUGCUUCCUCUACCAGAGGAGGCAGAACAGCAUGACUGCCUACAAAUCCUCACAGAAGUACAUGGAACCAGGCCGGACCUAUCGGACCAGCCUCUUCAGAAUGCUGACCACACAUGGUACACGGAUGGCAGCAGCUUCUUGGCAGAGGGAGAGCAAAAGGCUGGAGCUGCGGUCACUACGGAGGACAAAGUGAUUUGGGCGAAAGCCCUGCCUGCUGGUACCUCCGCACAACGGGCUGAACUCAUCGCCUUGACUCAGGCGCUCAAGAUGACAAAAGGUAAGAGGCUAAAUAUAUAUACAGACAGUCGUUAUGCCUUUGCCACGGCACACAUCCACGGGGAGAUCUACCAGAGGCGGGAGCUGCUCACAUCUGAGGGUAAAGAUAUUAAAAAUAAGGCUGAAAUUCUGGCCCUCUUAGAAGCCCUAUUCUUGCCCAAAAGACUGAGUACAUUGUCCAGGACACCAGAAAGGGCACAACCCUGAGACACGAGGAAACCGGCUGGCCGAUGCCACGGCGCGAGAAGCGGCCAUGAACAAACAAAUCUUGCCCUUAAAUAGCCCAGACCAACCCACGCCCCCACCAGUGGGACAAACCAGUUGGGUUUAUGCCCAUGAGGACAUAGAGCUCCUAAAAAUGGGGGCCAUCUACCACCCUCAACUAAAACAGUGGGUCUACAAAGGACUUUUGAAUUGAUCUCCUUUUUACAUAAAUUAACCCAUUUGGGGUUUAAGAAGAUGACUAGAUCGGGAAGAGAUAAAUCUGUGUUUUUUUAAAUCGGGACAAAGCGAUACAAAAGGUGACUGAGAGUUACAAAGCGUGCGCUCAGGUUAACCCGGAAAGGACCAUGAUUGGACAAGGAGUUCGUCCUAGGGGACACCGUCCCGACAUCCAUUGAGAAAUUGAUUUUACUGAAAUUAAACCAGGUAUAUAUGGAUACAAGUAUCUCCUAGUGUUUGUAGACACCUUCUCAGGAUGGGUCAAAGCCUUCCCCACGAAGCACGAGACUACAAAAAUGGUCACCAAGAAGCUCCUCGAGGAAAUCUUUCCCAGGUAUGACAUGCCUCAAGCGUUGGGGUCAGACAACGGGCCCGCUUUCGUCUCCCAAGUAAGUCAGUUGGUGGCCAAAUUGCUGGGGAUUGAUUGGAAAUUACAUUGUGCCUAUAGACCCCAGAGUUCAGGUCAGGUAGAACGCAUGAAUAGAACAAUUAAGGAGACUUUAUCCAAACUUACGCUUGCAACUGGCUCAAAGGAUUGGGUGGCCCUCCUUCCCCUAGUUCUAUAUCGGGCCCGGAAUACCCCGGGCCCCCAUGGUCUAACUCCUUUUGAAAUAAUAUAUGGAACACCACCCCCAUUUGUCCAUUUCUUUGAUUCAAACAUUGCUGAUUUUGCUGACAGCCCUUCUCUGAGGGCCCAUUUACAGGCCCUACAGAUUGUGCAGAGAGACGUCUGGAGACCUUUGGCCGCUGCUUACCAGGACAAGCUUGAGCAUCCGGUGGUGCCACACCUGUUCCAGAUUGGAGACACCGUGUGGGUGCACAGACACCAGACCAAGAAUCUCGAGCCACAGUGGAAAGGACCCUACACCGUCCUCCUGACUACCCCGACCGCCCUAAAGGUAGACGGAGUCUCGGCUUAGAUCCACACACCACACGUCAAGACAGUCCGGUCUGAGGAAUUGACUAAUCACAACACUACACCCCAGACAUGGAGAGUUCAGCGCACUCCAAACCCCUUAAAGUUAAAACUCCUACGUGGCUCCUCCUAGCCCUUUUGUGGCCUAGAGUCAGUGGGGAAUAAGCCCCCACCAGACAGAAAUUUCUUGACCAAGUCGAGUGAAAGAUUUCACUCAAAGUUAGCAAAAAAAAAAUGGGGGAAUGAAAGACCCCAGCUUAGCAGCAGUAACGCCAUUUUGCAAGGCUGUACUUAAGAUGACUGGUUCAGGGAAAGGUUAGAACACUGAGUACACAGCGGCUGCCAAACAAGAUGUGUUUGGUUGAAGGCCUGGCAACAGGAGGACUGCCGUUGGGCACCUGACAAUGAGAAAAGCCCCGGGAGAGGUCCCACACCCUGGUGGGGGGCCGAGUCAGCCGUUAUGUUCCAAGAAGGUAGCUAAGAAAUUUGCCCCCAGGCUGAACCCUUGGGGGGCCGAGUCAGUCCUUAUGUUUCAGGAAGGUAGCUAGGAAACUUGCCCCCGGGCUAAACCCUUGCCAUAUUAGAAUCCACCAAUUAUAUCCCUGUAACCAUGCAUCUGCUUCUGUAUGCUUGCUUCUGCUCCCCAAAAUCCUAUAAAAGCCCAUCCUUGGUUCCAUGGGGUGCGCCAGUCCCCCGAGUGACUGAAGCGCCCGCAGGUGCCUGUGCCUGUGUAUCCCGACAAUAAACCAAAUCCUCUUGCUGAUUGCA